UACGUAGGUGGCAAGCGUUGUCCGGAUUUACUGGGCGUAAAGAGCGCGCAGGCGGUCGUUCAAGUCGCGUGUGAAAGCCCCGGCUCAACUGGGAGGGUCACGCGAUACUGAUCGACUCGAAGGCAGGAGAGGGAAGUGGAAUUCCCGGUGUAGUGGUGAAAUGCGUAGAUAUCGGGAGGAACACCAGUGGCGAAGGCGACUUCCUGGCCUGUUCUUGACGCUGAGGCGCGAAAGCUAGGAGCAACGG
Molecule: ribosomal RNA, 247 nt
Filed under: uncultured bacterium
Lineage: Bacteria
Description: partial 16S ribosomal RNA
Rfam family: Bacterial small subunit ribosomal RNA
Source: RNAcentral